GGGGACGCGUGGUUUCGACAGUUUGGUAAAUAUAAAACUGCGGGUCGUGGUAUCGUUCCACGUAAAAAACGGUAAAAAUAUAAACGGCGAAAAAGAACUCGCUCUCGCUGCAUAAUAAAUAUAGCGCGACGUUCGACUUGUUUUAAAUCCGGCGAAACAGGAUCGAGCGACGGUAGUCCGGAUUGCAACCUGUACUUCGAUCAGUAGUCAGAUGUAAGAAUAAAUCUGAUCAAGCUAAUUUGCUUAGUUAGCCAGUCGACUGGCUUAUUAGUUAUAAGGACUGGAUACACUCGUAGAUGUUGAAAUAUGAACCUAAUUGGACGGGGAGUUCAACUCUCCCCCGUCUCCACCA
This 352-nucleotide transfer-messenger RNA is filed under the name Dehalococcoidia. RNAcentral describes it as "GCA-2717385 sp002717385 Standard tmRNA". It matches the Rfam family "transfer-messenger RNA". Rfam says of the family: Bacterial tmRNA, also known as 10Sa RNA or SsrA, is named for its dual tRNA and mRNA-like properties. Its role is to liberate the mRNA from a stalled ribosome. The record is from RNAcentral. Lineage: Bacteria; Bacillati; Chloroflexota. RNAcentral also lists the same sequence under 1 other name.